GCCAUAACGAAUUAUAUUACAAAUUAUUUGCUGAAAAACAAAUCAAUUUGUUGAGGCAAAAUGCAUGACAAAUUUAGCUCCUGAAGACAGUUCGGGACACCCCGCACAUAAUCAGCGUCUUCGAAUCACUCGCCGGUCGCCGUGAUUUUGCUGCGAAGCAAGGCUUGGGUAGAUCGUAAAAGUUUCUUGCAGAGUUUCGCAGGAUUCAUGGUGAGGACCUAAUCACACUGUUCAACCAAGGACUACAAAGACUGGCAGAACCCCUUUCUGGACUUCACAAAGAUAGAUGCAAAUGAGCCAAGAAAGAUGUGACAGUUUACUUCCCGGAAGCUAAGAAGAAAUUGCCAUACAGAUUCUACCAACCUUUUUCAAGGAAGACCUGGUGAUAUAUUCAUCUCAAGUGACAAGGUUGAUACGAAGCCCAUGUACAUACGUGUAUCCUGCAAUCAAGAGGAAUCAUAUGAGCUUGUUCUGGAGGAGCAAAGAGUCUGUCAAGUCCAGGAUAAAGUGCAUGCAUUGGCUUGUUAAGUAGCUGGUUUUUAUUUUUCAUUCAGCCUAUGGCUGUGAGCCAUCAGUCAUGAAAAUUCGUGAGUUUUGCCAACUUGGAAUUCUUCAGGUGAAAGAUG
Molecule: long non-coding RNA, 626 nt
Organism: Lytechinus variegatus (green sea urchin)
Lineage: Eukaryota; Metazoa; Echinodermata; Echinoidea; Temnopleuroida; Toxopneustidae
Exons: 4
Source: RefSeq, a predicted model, not a curated record